UCGAGAAUCUUUCGCAAUGGGGGAAACCCUGACGAAGCGACGCCGCGUGAGCGAUGAAGGUCUUCGGAUUGUAAAGCUCUGUCACAAGGGACGAACGUUUUUCUGUGAACAAUAGAAAAGCUUGACGGUACCUUGAGAGGAAGCCCCGGCUAACUCUGUGCCAGCAGCCGCGGUAAUACAGAGGGGGCACGCGUUGUUCGGAUUUACUGGGUGUAAAGGGUGCGUAGGCUGUCUUGUAAGUUAGAUGUGAAAUCUCAAGGCUUAACCUUGAAACUGCAUUUAAUACUGCUCGACUAGAGUACGAAAGAGGGAGAUGGAAUUCUCGGUGGAAGAGUGAAAUCUGCAGAUAUCGAGAGGAACACCAGUAGCGAAGGCGAUCUCCUGGGUCGAUACUGACGCUGAGUGCACGAAAGCUAGGGGAGCAAACG
Molecule: ribosomal RNA, 428 nt
Filed under: uncultured prokaryote
Description: bacterial SSU rRNA
Rfam family: Bacterial small subunit ribosomal RNA
Source: RNAcentral